CUCUCUUCCCCUCGCCAAGGGUUCCGCCUGCACCUGCUAGCUGCAGCAUGGGACGGUGGAGAGAAGAUCAUCGGCAAGGGAGGUAACCAGUUGAGACUGAGUUUAAGGUAGGCAUUCUUUCUCCGCUCUGUUCUCAACUCCAUGAAUCUCCUCCUGAAGUCCACUAGUCCACUCCCAGAUCUCACAACCACAAUUCUCGAUCUCUCAACUUGCUUAUAUUUAUGAUUUGGUAACAAGUUGCGGUGGUGAUUGCUUAACUUUCCCUUGAUUUUGUUUGCUUUUGUUUCUACACUGUUAGGUUAUGAAGGUUACAAUUACGUACAGAUCUUAACAAGGACUUAUCCUUGGGAUGUAGAGAAUGAAGUUAUAUUGGUCUUAAUUAAUUAAAAAACAGCUCUGAAGGGUUAGCCCAUAGAUUGAGACCACCGAGUUAUGGUGGAGUUGGUUUCUACUUUCUGUUGGUACUGUAAGGGAGAUCGAUCCCCCGUAAAUCUGCAAUUUUUUUGUAUUUGAGAGAUGGUGUCGGCUGUGAGCUGAUGCCGAUUUUGCUUCUAUCAUGCACAGUUAAAACUUAACUGCUCACAAAUGUUCAGCUGAUGCAGAUGAUGCACGGGCAUUGCACUAAAUUUGUUAACAUUAUAAACUGAACUAUUGAUUCGGUAACUCUACUUUUGGUUUAACGGAUCUAUAGAGAAUUCAUGCAAUAGACAUCUAAAGUUGAAACUUGGAGAUCAUCUUAUAUCCUCAUGUUCACCUCUCAGUUCCCACCUUUUUUUUGUGUCUCAUUCAUUCAUCGAAGAUAAGUUCAGUUGCAUUUGCUCAAGCUAGCUGCAAAAUUUAUGUGUCUUAGAUGAAAUAAUUGGUAUGAAGAAUGUAUGUCGUACCCAAAUGAGUUAACAUGCUUCUCAUUCUUGUCAGUAUGAAGAUCAUGCAUGGCUAGGAUACUUCAGACCAAGCAUAUGAGUUGGGGUUGGGAUGUACUACUAUGGAUGGCUAUAUUUUUCAGAGUAGAUCAGUGAACUCAAUAAGAUGUGGGAUAAGUGGCAUGACCAAAUGCCAGUGACAAUAUAUGACUCUUCACCACUUGGAUACUGCCAGCAUAUCACAAUGAGCAAGGAGGAAACAAUACUUGGAUGUUCCUUGCAAUAUUGUUUUACCAUGCGAAGGUACAUUCCAGCCCAACCAAUUACUGUUAUCUGAAAUUGUGUUGGGAGCAGCAAGCUAAAGAUUUCCAAACGAUGCAAACAUGUUUAGAUCAACUAUAUAGACCGGUUCAUGCAAAUUUAACCUAUGC
This 1294-nucleotide long non-coding RNA is filed under the name Triticum aestivum (bread wheat). RNAcentral's name for it is "long non-coding RNA (TAES_LNC014244)". The record is from RNAcentral. Lineage: Eukaryota; Viridiplantae; Streptophyta; Magnoliopsida; Poales; Poaceae.